AAGGUCGUCUUUGAGGGGGAGGAGGUUUGAAGAGGAGCGGCGGGUUGCUGCAGGAGCUCAUUGUACGGSUGUUGGUUCUGUUUCAAACCUGGAAGUCCUGGUGAGCAGGACGGCAGUGUGUAACCGUGUUCGGGGACCUGCAAUACAUACCUCCAUCCAGGUUGAUAUUUCCCACAGCUUGCUGUAACACGAGGAACUUCACAACAACAGGAACGGUACGCUCUGCUUUCAAAACCUGCUGGACUUUUGCAAUUUUUUUUUUUUUGUUGUUGUUGUUGUUUUUAACAAGAGAUGGUCGGCAGUUUGAACUUGCCAAAUGUUUGCGAAGGAGACCCUUUGGGUAUGAGCUGCAGCAGCAGGGCUGAGAGAGGACUGGACAGCCCGGACUCUGGCUUACCUCCGAGUCCGAGCCCCAGCGCCUGGCUGCAGCCUGCGAGCGUGGAGAAACCCGGCGGUGUGAGCCCGGUGCCCGAGGACGAAGGAAGGGGUUCCCAGAUUUCAGUUGUACCAGCUGCGAGUUUACCACAGCUACAGCCGCUGUCCUUUGGAGAAGGCAUUGCUCUCAAUCCRCUCCCAUCUAAGGAACUCAGAUACACGUCGUUCGUGCUCUACGACUCCAACCGUCACUUCAUCCAGAAUGUGGAUCUGCAGCCGCUGGGCCGUGGCCUCGAGCACUGCAGGCAGACGAUCGUGGCUUUGCCCCACAGCACCUGGCGCCGCUACAAGACUCAACUGGACCUGGAGCCACGCCUCCGCCCCCACAGCUUCGGGAGCACGGCCAUCACCUACCCCAAGAAAACCAGCGAGGUUUACGUGACGGAGCUGAGCUACGACUCCCACCGGCUGUGCAGGCGCUUCCUGUCGAGCGUGGAGCUGGAGGUCAGCAGCAGGAGGCCGCUUCAGUGAGAGGGGAGGAAAGGAGCAUGAUGGUUAGGGUCAUUUCCACAAUCACUGCACUGAUGCCCCUCUUAGGGACCACUUGAGUGCUGGUCUCUGAACUGAAGCGCCUCAGAAACCAGCUGUCUACAUCUUCAGCCUCAUUAAAAUACAUCAGAGAUAUCUCCUUUCCUCACGUCCUCCCCUGUUGUUGCCAUCCUGAUCUUAAGCAGUGGACUGGAGAACAACCUUARGGAUUUUAAAAAAUAAUUAUAUAAGCUUGAUAUGGAGGUUUGAUUCUGCCACUGACCUGCUGUCUAGUUUUAAGUUCUGUAUCUUCUGUAAGCGUUCAUCUUGAACUAUAGAUGGGAAAACUCCAUGCUGAUGAAUACUGUAUAGGGGCUGGAUACAAAUUCUGUAUUUGUCCCACUGAAUGAAACAACUUCAUUGGUUCUUUCCUGAAUGUUUAUUUUAUUUUAUUUUUUUUGUUAAAGGACAUUUUUUAAAUCUGCAGAGAAAUGCGAACGAAGAUGAAAAAUGUCCAUCUUUAAAUCUGAUAGUCAAGCGGAUCAAGCUGUUCGGAAUUUACUUUAAAUAGUUUUUUUUUUUUCUUUUGAAGAUAAUUUUCAGACACAACUUUUUUUUUUCUGUCUUUAAGUCUGUUUGGAAAGACUAAAUGUAUCCACACUGUGCAAAGGAAAUGUUGAAAGUAUUUUUGAGWGUUUAAUAACCGGAUAUUGUGUACAGCUUUAACUGUCAACGCUCUUUAGUCACCUUUUUCUCAAGCCUAUUUUACACCUCAUUUGUAUGUUAUGAUAGACAUUUUAUUUCCACCGUGUAAGCUCAGAUUAAGCAGGUAAUAUAGAUUUGUUUCUAAUUUGCAGUUUUACUGAUGUGGCUCAUUCACUGGCUUACAGUAUUCCACUGCUGCAGAUUUUUGAGUGAAAUUGUAUUUAUAUUGUGUUUUAUUUUUUUUUUAUUUUUUAUUUUUUUUUAGUUUUAUAAAGGUGUGAGAGUUCACAAGCUGACCAUCAGUGGUGGUAAAGAGAAUUUCGGAAAUGCUGUAUAUGCUUUAUUGAUUUGUAUUUCUUAAUCACCUGUUUGAAGCCUUUUUUAAAUAAAGUGGUCACUUUUUCAAUAUCUUUUUUUUUUUUUGGAUUUCAUUUUUAAGAUAGCAUUUCUUCAUUAGAAUGUAAAUACAGAUGUAAAACUGAAGAAUAAAGCUCUUGACAAAU
Austrofundulus limnaeus is the source of this 2111-nucleotide RNA transcript. It is a transcript of the gene named refilin B, with no coding region annotated. NCBI's taxonomy places the organism in Eukaryota, Metazoa, Chordata, Actinopteri, Cyprinodontiformes, Rivulidae. The record is from RefSeq and is a predicted model, not a curated record. The transcript is spliced from 4 exons.